GGCCCCUGGACAAGACUGACGCUCAGUGCGAAAGCGUGGGGAGCAAACAGGAUUAGAUACCUGGUAGUCCACGCUGUAAACGAUGUCGAUUUGGAGGUUGUGCCCUUGAGGCGUGGCUUCCGGAGCUAACGCGUUAAAUCGACCGCUGGGGAGUACGGCCGCAAGGUUAAAACUCAAAUGAAUUGACGGGGGCCCGCACAAGCGGUGGAGCAUGUGGUUUAAUUCGAUGCAACGCGAAGAACCUUACCUACUCUUGACAUCCAGAGAACUUAGCAGAGAUGCUUUGGUGCCUUCGGGAACUCUGAGACAGGUGCUGCAUGGCUGUCGUCAGCUCGUGUUGUGAAAUGUUGGGUUAAGUCCCGCAACGAGCGCAACCCUUAUCCUUUGUUGCCAGCGGUUCGGCCGGGAACUCAAAGGAGACUGCCAGUGAUAAACUGGAGGAAGGUGGGGAUGACGUCAAGUCAUCAUGGCCCUUACGAGUAGGGCUACACACGUGCUACAAUGGCGUAUACAAAGAGAAGCGACCUCGCGAGAGCAAGCGGACCUCAUAAAGUACGUCGUAGUCCGGAUUGGAGUCUGCAACUCGACUCCAUGAAGUCGGAAUCGCUAGUAAUCGUAGAUCAGAAUGCUACGGUGAAUACGUUCCCGGGCCUUGUACACACCGCCCGUCACACCAUGGGAGUGGGUUGCAAAAGAAGUAGGUAGCUUAACCUUCGGGAGGGCGCUUACCACUUUGUGAUUCAUGACUGGGGUGAAGUCGUAACAAGGUAACCA
RNAcentral lists this ribosomal RNA (774 nucleotides) under uncultured Providencia sp. RNAcentral describes it as "bacterial SSU rRNA". It matches the Rfam family "Bacterial small subunit ribosomal RNA", at positions 724 to 1502 of the family's 1533-position model. Lineage: Bacteria; Pseudomonadati; Pseudomonadota; Gammaproteobacteria; Enterobacterales; Morganellaceae. The record is from RNAcentral.